CCACUGCUGAGGAGUCCCAUAACAGGAUGAAACGGCUGUCCAGUGU
Molecule: non-coding RNA, 46 nt
Organism: Schistosoma rodhaini
Lineage: Eukaryota; Metazoa; Platyhelminthes; Trematoda; Strigeidida; Schistosomatidae
Source: Rfam